Molecule: long non-coding RNA, 584 nt
Organism: Heterocephalus glaber (naked mole-rat)
Lineage: Eukaryota; Metazoa; Chordata; Mammalia; Rodentia; Bathyergidae
Source: Ensembl
UGCUAAAGAAUUUUAAAUUUAUCCUCCCCGGAGAGUCUAUGGAAUGGAUGAACACCAAGAAAUUCUAGGGCCUAGGAUCAAAUUUGGAGUCUAAAAUGACAGCCCAGGCAGGAGAUAGAUGCAGCAUAUUCCACUGAUGGGUCCUUGUGGAAAAUAUCUUCUUCUGAAAAGAGCAUCUUGAGAAGAGACAAUUUCACCUUCUGCUGGAAGUUGAUUGCCUCCAUGUGACGCUUGGAGUUGCCACGCUACCAUUUUGCUAUGCUAAGAGGAGCUCAUCUGUGAACAAAGCCUAUAUUCAACAAGGAACCUGAUUUCUUGUUGAGAUUUUUCCCUACUGAGUUCACUGUUGUGUGGAGAACCCUUGGGUCCCCUAAAGAAGGAGUUGCAAAUUUGUUUGUUGAGCUCAGAGGAAUGGUGUGGGCCAUGCUGGUUGUCUGGAAAGGUCACUGCAUCAGAAGUGUGGGCUUGGCCAUCUUCCUUUCUGUCUUAUUGCACCAAUGAGCUUCCAAAGCACCGAAGAACUCAGCUCUUCAGCUCCAAAGUUAGACUGAAAAGACUGACUCAGAGGUGUAGUGAACCCCAAG